AUUGGUGGAUUUGAAAGUCCUUGUCUCCAUCUUAUCCCAGUUGCUUCUUUUCUUCGGGGAAGCUGGUCUGCUUUUCUUUUCUCUCAAGAAGUUCACUCUGCCAUGGGUAAAAAUCAUCAGUGCUAAUGAGACACAAUAAUACUGUUUAAAAAAAGAAAAAGAAAUAACACAUCUGUCAUGAACUCCCACCAGAUCUCUUGGCAAUGAGACAUUUUAAAUAUUUUAUGCUGAACACAAGAUAUAUUGAGGAAAUAGUUUUCUAUUCUGUAUCCCAAAACAAAGCCAUCAGCGUCAGUGAGGAGCACGACUAAAACAUUUCACUUUAAAUUACUUCACUUAAAAUUGCCUCAGACUUAGCAUAUGUAUUCUAUUGGAGAUAUAUGUUUUCCCAAUUAUAAACUAGGACAACAUUAAAAACUUAUAAAAAAAUAGGAGAUAUUCUAUUAAGUGUGAAAGCUUUUAUGAUACUAUACCACAAUAGUAUUGUAUUUUACUUCAUUGGCUAGAGACAACCUGUGUUUUGAGUAUGUUAGUAUUAAUGAACAAAAUGGUUUGGUUUGUUUGUAUAUAUAAAAAACUGAACACUGGUGGUAAUUACGGAGAAUGCUGUCCUUACCACCAGUGAAGGAAAGAGAUUCUGAGGUUAAGUCAACACAAUUUGAGCAGCCUGUUCCUGCUCGGUGUCGACUUCCUCAGCACCCUCCAGUCCUUCCCAGUCACAUAAGGAAGUGUGCUCUCUCUUCAUAUUAGCUUCUGCUUUUAAUCUUUUCCAGGAUAUUUGGGGGCAUAGGGGAGGAAACUCCUAUUCUCUAGGCAAAGUCUUUGUGCACAUGUCCUUCAGUGACUGGCUAACAUUCUAAAGAUUUAGAAAACAAAGAAAAGAAUAAGUCUAUGCAUUACCAUGGUUUCUUUCCUAGGUUUUGAACAUUUUGCACAGUAUAAGAGGGUGGGUUUUUUUUUUCAGUUUGAGGUGUCACUUUUUUAAAUCAUAGAAACAAGUAAUAAAUGUCCAAACUGUUUCCUAUAAGUCAAGUUCUCCAGCAUUUAAAAUGAUAAAGUCUGGCAAUGGUCUCAGCAUCUGGCUGAGACAUUAAAUCCUGCUUCCCUGCUUUUACUAAUCAGAUGCUAAGGAUGGUUUCAGUUACAGAACAAAGUCUCUCUUAAGGUCGUUAACCUUCUGUUCUUAUCUGCCAUUUAGAACAAACUGCACCAAGAACACUUAACAUCCAAAAUGACUUUUUACAUUUGAAUUUUAUCUGCAUUCUUUUCUUCAUACAUCAAAUCUAUGCUACUAAACUGGGUGUGUGAUUCACUCAAUCCCAGUACUCAGGAGGCACAAGAAAGUGGAUAUCUGUAAAGUUUUAGGUCAGGCUGGUCUACAUAGUAAGUUGCAAGCCAGCCACAACUGCAUCGUCAGAUCUGUCUAGCAUCCCCCCCCCCAAACCCACACAUAUAGAACAGAAAUGCAGCUUGAUCUUCAUGUGGGUCUCCCAACAAGUGGAACAGGGGCAGUCUCUGACUACGUUGCCUGCCUAUGGAUCCCCCGGGCCACCUUGUCUGCCCUCAGUGAGAGAGGAUGCACCUAUAAAUCUGCAGAGAUUUGAUGUGCCAGGGUUGGGGGAUACCCAGGAGGAGCUUCCAGCUUCUCAGAGGAGAAGGGGGAGAGGAGGAGGGACAUGAGUAGGGAGCCAAGAGGAUAAGGGGGAGGGGCUGCAAUUGGGAUAUAAAGUGAGUGAAUGAAUUAAUGAAUAGAUGAGAUAUGAAACAUAAACAUAUGAUGCUGGAGUUUCUCUUUUGUUUACUUAUAUUCUACACCCUUUACUCAAUUAUACAACCAAUAUCAAUCCUUAUUUAAUAAUAGUGCAGCAGGGUGACUAUCCAACUUCUCUUUUAAACUAACUUGGUUUCUUUAAGGAUCUGGAAAAAUGUGAAAUUAGUAGUGUCCUGUCAGAUACAAUUAUGUAAAAUACCUUGUUUCAAAGGUUUAUAUUGCUUCCCAUAGUGCAGGAGAAAACAGUUUCCAUUUUCUAGUGUAUAAUCAGUGAUAGCAUUUUGUGUAUUGCAAUGACAGUCCUGAGACAGUGACUUAUUCCUAGGAGGAGCCAACACUCUAGUGUAAGGAAAUUGCUUCCUUCUUACACAAUACUUUUACAGAAAUUU
Molecule: long non-coding RNA, 2160 nt
Filed under: Mus musculus (house mouse)
Lineage: Eukaryota; Metazoa; Chordata; Mammalia; Rodentia; Muridae
Description: long non-coding RNA chr13:78102597-78104757
Source: RNAcentral